RNAcentral lists this ribosomal RNA (458 nucleotides) under uncultured bacterium. Its description in RNAcentral is "partial 16S ribosomal RNA". It matches the Rfam family "Bacterial small subunit ribosomal RNA", at positions 338 to 795 of the family's 1533-position model. The record is from RNAcentral.
CCUACGGGCGGCUGCAGUGGGGAAUAUUGCACAAUGGGGGAAACCCUGAUGCAGCGACGCCGCGUGAGUGAAGAAGUAAUUCGUUACGUAAAGCUCUAUCAGCAGGGAAGAAACACUGACCUUACGGUCAGCAGACGGUACCUGAGUAAGAAGCCCAGGCUAACUACGUGCCAGCAGCCGCGGUAAUACGUAGGGGGCAAGCGUUAUCCGGAUUUACUGGGUGUAAAGGGAGCGUAGACGGUGCACCAAGUCUGGAGUGAAAUGCCGCAGCUUAACUGCGGAACUGCUUUGGAAACUGGCGAACUAGAGUGCAGAAGAGGUAAGCGGAAUUCCUAGUGUAGCGGUGAAAUGCGUAGAUAUUAGGAGGAACACCGGUGGCGAAGGCGGCUUACUGGACCGUAACUGACGUUGAGGCUCGAAAGCGUGGGUAGCAAACAGGAUUAGAUACCCCUGUAGUC